This 75-nucleotide transfer RNA is filed under the name Gammaproteobacteria bacterium. RNAcentral describes it as "tRNA-Val". It matches the Rfam family "tRNA". Rfam says of the family: Transfer RNA (tRNA) molecules are approximately 80 nucleotides in length. Their secondary structure includes four short double-helical elements and three loops (D, anti-codon, and T loops). Further hydrogen bonds mediate the characteristic L-shaped molecular structure. tRNAs have two regions of fundamental functional importance: the anti-codon, which is responsible for specific mRNA codon recognition, and the 3' end, to which the tRNAs corresponding amino acid is attached (by aminoacyl-tRNA synthetases). tRNAs cope with the degeneracy of the genetic code in two manners: having more than one tRNA (with a specific anti-codon) for a particular amino acid; and 'wobble' base-pairing, i.e. permitting non-standard base-pairing at the 3rd anti-codon position. Lineage: Bacteria; Pseudomonadati; Pseudomonadota; Gammaproteobacteria. The record is from RNAcentral. RNAcentral also lists the same sequence under 7 other names.
GCGCGCUUAGCUCAGCGGUAGAGCAUCACCUUGACAUGGUGGGGGUCAGUGGUUCGAUCCCACUAGCGCGCACCA